This 69-nucleotide transfer RNA is filed under the name Bos taurus (domestic cattle). It matches the Rfam family "tRNA". From Rfam's summary of the family: Transfer RNA (tRNA) molecules are approximately 80 nucleotides in length. Their secondary structure includes four short double-helical elements and three loops (D, anti-codon, and T loops). Lineage: Eukaryota; Metazoa; Chordata; Mammalia; Artiodactyla; Bovidae. The record is from Rfam by way of RNAcentral. RNAcentral also lists the same sequence under 4 other names.
CCUGGUGGCUCAGAUAAUAAAGCGUCUGCCUACAAUGCAGGAUACCCAGGUUCAAUCCCUGGGUCAGGA